Molecule: transfer RNA, 67 nt
Filed under: Oenanthe isabellina (Isabelline wheatear)
Lineage: Eukaryota; Metazoa; Chordata; Aves; Passeriformes; Muscicapidae
Description: tRNA-Cys
Source: RNAcentral
GGCUCUGUGGUGAAAUUCAUGGUGAGUUGCAAGCUCAUUGAUGUGCGUUAGCUGCGCGCCAGAGUCU